AACGAACGCUGGCGGCGUGGAUAAGACAUGCAAGUCGAGCGGGACAUCACUUGUAGCAAUACGGGUGAUGUUUAGCGGCGCAAGGGUGCGUAACACGUGGGCAAUUUGCCAUAAAGCUGGGGAUAACUCCGGGAAACCGGAGCUAAUACCGAAUGUGAACAUCUGGAGGCAUCUUUGGAUGUUUAAAGCUGGGGACCGUAAGGCCUGGCACUUUAUGAUGAGCCCGCGGCCUAUCAGCUAGUUGGCGUGGUAACAGCACACCAAGGCUAAGACGGGUAGCUGGUCUGAGAGGACGACCAGCCACACUGGAACUGAGACACGGUCCAGACACCUACGGGUGGCAGCAGUCGAGAAUUUUUCACAAUGGGCGCAAGCCUGAUGGAGCGACGCCGCGUGGGGGAUGAAGGGCUUCGGCUCGUAAACCCCUGUCAGUUGCGAACAAUGUACACCGGUGAACAUCCGGUGUGCUGAUAGUAGUGACAGG
Molecule: ribosomal RNA, 484 nt
Filed under: uncultured bacterium
Lineage: Bacteria
Description: bacterial SSU rRNA
Rfam family: Bacterial small subunit ribosomal RNA
Source: RNAcentral